Molecule: transfer RNA, 77 nt
Filed under: Clostridia bacterium
Lineage: Bacteria; Bacillati; Bacillota; Clostridia
Description: tRNA-Val
Rfam family: tRNA
About the family: Transfer RNA (tRNA) molecules are approximately 80 nucleotides in length.
Source: RNAcentral
GGAGGCAUAGCUCAGUUGGUUAGAGCGCACGGUUCACAUCCGUGAGGUCAAGAGUUCAAGUCUCCUUGUCUCCACCA